AGGCCAUACCCGGGUUCGAACCGGGGUCUUCGCAGUCAAAGUGCGACGUCAUUACCACUAAACUAUAAGGCC
Molecule: transfer RNA, 72 nt
Filed under: Cafeteria roenbergensis
Lineage: Eukaryota; Bigyra; Bicosoecida; Cafeteriaceae
Description: tRNA-Gln
Source: RNAcentral